GUGAUGGCCUGGUGGUAGAGUAGCUGCCCGGCAAGCAGUAGAUGCAGGUUCAAGUCCUGCUGGUUACA
Molecule: non-coding RNA, 68 nt
Organism: Strongylocentrotus purpuratus (purple sea urchin)
Lineage: Eukaryota; Metazoa; Echinodermata; Echinoidea; Camarodonta; Strongylocentrotidae
Source: Rfam